CUCUCCGGAUCAGCUGUGAUGACACUGCCGUCAGUCUGUCCACAGUCCUCAGAGAAACCAAGUGGAAGUAGCAACUGAAGAACAAUCUCUAUGAGAGUGACCUGUGGCUAUGACUGUCAGACGUUAAAAUUUACUGACUGGUAAUGGAGGACUCAACCAUCUGUGGGAUGUGCCACUCCCAGGUGUAUUUUACAUGCAUGUGUGUCUAUGUAGCACUUGCAUUCCUGAUUUGCCUGGAGACCAGAAAAGGAUAACUGAAUAUAAGCCUGAGACCUUGCCAGUAAGCAUCAUUCCUCUGUGCUCUUUGAUUUAGCUCCUACCUCUAAAUUCAUGCCUUGAAUCCCUGCACUGGCAUCCCUCAUAGAUGGAAUGUUAUACACAUUAUCUUCUCAGUCAUGCUCUCUGACAGAAAAAUUACAGGAGAGAAGAGCUGAAGAGAUGGCUCAGCAGUUAAGAGCACUGACUUCUAGAACUUCCAGAGGUCCUGAGUUCAAUUCCCAGGAACCCCAUGGUGGCUCAAAACCAUCUGUAAUGGGAUCUGAUGCCCUCUUCUGGUGUCUGAAGACAACUCCAGUGUACUCAUAUAAAUGAAAUAAAUUAAUAAAUCUUUCUUAAAAAGAAAAAAAAAAAAGGCAUGCAAAAGAAGCAGAGGAGUGGUGCUUGUGUGCCCAGGCUUUAAAAACAAAAAAAAAAAAAAAACAAAAAAAAAA
Molecule: long non-coding RNA, 710 nt
Filed under: Mus musculus (house mouse)
Lineage: Eukaryota; Metazoa; Chordata; Mammalia; Rodentia; Muridae
Description: predicted gene, 31409
Source: RNAcentral